CUUACAAAGGUUGAACAUAAUGAUAGAUGCUGCAUCUGCACUAGAAUACCUACACCAUGGUUAUUCAAUACCUAUUGUGCAUUGUGAUAUGAAGCCAAGCAAUAUACUACUGGAUGAUUAUAUGGUUGCACAUGUUUCUGAUUUUGGAAUUGCAAAACUCUUGGGUGGAGGAGAUUCUAUUACCCAAACCAUGACUCUAGCCACUGUUGGGUAUAUGGCUCCAGAGUAUGGAUUGGAAGGAAUGGCUUCAACAAGAGGGGAUGU
Prunus avium (sweet cherry) is the source of this 264-nucleotide non-coding RNA. NCBI's taxonomy places the organism in Eukaryota, Viridiplantae, Streptophyta, Magnoliopsida, Rosales, Rosaceae. The record is from RefSeq and is a predicted model, not a curated record.